This 772-nucleotide ribosomal RNA is filed under the name uncultured Neocallimastigales. Its description in RNAcentral is "partial large subunit ribosomal RNA". It matches the Rfam family "Eukaryotic large subunit ribosomal RNA", at positions 18 to 642 of the family's 3401-position model. Lineage: Eukaryota; Fungi; Neocallimastigomycota; Neocallimastigomycetes; Neocallimastigales. The record is from RNAcentral.
UCAGACGAUGCGUCAUGCAUAUCAAUAAGCGGAGGAAAAGAAACUAACAAGGAUUCCCCUAGUAACGGCGAGUGAGGCGGGAAGAGCUCAAAUUUGAAAUCUUAAAGGGUUUCCCUUUACGAAUUGUAGUUUAAAGAAGUGUUUUCUGUUGAGGUUUUGGUAAAAGUUCUUUGGAAUAGGACAUCAUAGAGGGUGAGAAUCCCGUAUUUGACCUUUACUUUCAACUUUGUGAUACACUUUCAAAGAGUCGGAUUGUUUGGGAAUGCAGUCCAAAAUGGGUGGUAAAUUUCAUCUAAAGCUAAAUAUUGGCGAGAGACCGAUAGCGAACAAGUACCGUGAGGGAAAGAUGAAAAGAACUUUGAAAAGAGAGUUAAACAGUACGUGAAAUUGUCAAAGGGAAGCGUUUGACACCAGUGUUGUUUUUCUGAAAAUCAAUUAAAGAACUGUUUAUGCUAAGCUGUUUAGACUUUAUCAGCUAUCUGUUUAGUUUUAGGCUUUUCUUUAAUGCACUUUUCAGUUAACAAGUCAACAUCAAUUUCUUUUGCUGUAAAAAAGCUUGAGGAAGGUGGCUUGAGAUUCGUCUUAAGUGUUUAUAGCCUCUUGCCUAUGCAGUCGGAGAGAUUGAGGUCUGCAGCGUAGAUCCUUCGGGGCUAAAUGCAUUUGUGCUAAGUUAUAGCAUUUUAUAGACAACUUGUUGACUAUGAUUUGUCUUGUAGCUUACUCGCUUAUGUUAUUUUACCUACGCUUAGGAUGUUGACACACGCGCGUGCUC